This is a non-coding RNA of Drosophila eugracilis, 131 nucleotides long. RefSeq annotates it as small Cajal body-specific RNA 8. The record is from RefSeq and is a predicted model, not a curated record. The transcript has a single exon. NCBI's taxonomy places the organism in Eukaryota, Metazoa, Arthropoda, Insecta, Diptera, Drosophilidae.
GCGUGCGCGGAUACUGCCUAGAGUUAAGAAAACUUAGCUCUAUGCCCGCAAUGUGCACGGAUAUCAAAAUGUUCUUCGAUGAGCCUGCUCGAUUGAGUUAUCAAGCAGGUACAGAUACAGAGCAUACAACC